GUGUCACUUCAGCAGCACAUACACUAAAAUUGAAACAGUAUGAAGGUCAGCAUGGCCCUUGUACAAGGGUGAUAUGCAGACUUGGAGAGCAUUCCACAUUUUCU
Small nuclear RNA from Nannospalax galili (Upper Galilee mountains blind mole rat), 104 nucleotides. NCBI's taxonomy places the organism in Eukaryota, Metazoa, Chordata, Mammalia, Rodentia, Spalacidae. The record is from Ensembl.